Molecule: ribosomal RNA, 465 nt
Filed under: uncultured bacterium
Lineage: Bacteria
Description: partial 16S ribosomal RNA
Rfam family: Bacterial small subunit ribosomal RNA
Source: RNAcentral
CCUACGGGAGGCAGCAGUAGGGAAUCUUCCACAAUGGGCGAAAGCCUGAUGGAGCAACGCCGCGUGGGUGAAGAAGGUCUUCGGAUCGUAAAACCCUGUUGUUAGAGAAGAAAGUGCGUGAGAGUAACUGUUCACGUUUCGACGGUAUCUAACCAGAAAGCCACGGCUAAAUACGUGCCAGCAGCCGCGGUAAUACGUAGGUGGCAAGCGUUAUCCGGUUUUAUUGGGCGUAAAGGGAACGCAGGGGGUCUUGUAAGUCUGAUGUGAAAGCCUUCGGCUUAACCGGAGUAGUGCAUUGGAGACUGGGAGACUUGAGUGCAGAAGAGGAGGGUGGAACUCGAGGUGUAGCGGUGAAAUGCGUAGAUAUAUGGAAGAACACCAAUGGCGAAAGCAGCUCUCUGAUCUGUAACUGACGCUGAGGUUCGAAAGCGUGGGUAGCAAACAGGAUUAGAUACCCGAGUAGUC